Molecule: ribosomal RNA, 3066 nt
Filed under: Candidatus Bathyarchaeota archaeon
Lineage: Archaea; Thermoproteati; Candidatus Bathyarchaeota
Description: 23S ribosomal RNA
Rfam family: Archaeal large subunit ribosomal RNA
Source: RNAcentral
AAACUCGACAUGCCACGCCGUCUGGAGGAUAGCUCGGCUAGGACGCUGAAGAAGGGCGCAACAAGCUGCGAUAAGCCUCGGCUAGGCGCAUGUAGCCUUCGACCCGAGGAUUCCCUAAUGGGACUUCCUAUCAUGAGGACCGCAAGGCCUUCAUGAUGCUCCUGCAUGGGAGCGGGAACCCUCCGAAAGGAAACAUCUCAGUAGGAGGAGGAAGAGAAACCAACUGGGAUUCCCUAAGUAGCGGCGAGCGAAACGGGAACAGUCCAAACCGAACCUUGUAGGGAAACCUAUAGGGGAUGUGGCGUUAUGGGCCCGGCUGCCUCUCACUUGGCUAAGCUGAAGUGGUCUGGAAUGGCCUGCCAAAGAGGGUGAAAGCCCCGUAAGCGUAAACCAAGCAGAGUUGAGCUGGAGUCCCAGAGUACUUUACCCUGACUUGGGUGAAGGAAAUUGGGAGCCAUCAACUUCCAAGACUAAACACGUUCCUAGACCGAUAGCGAACAAGUACGGUGACGGAAAGAUGAAAAGUGCCCCGGAAGGGGGGUGAAAAGCGCUUGAAACCAGACGGUUACAGACGUGUGCGGCCUGAAAGGGCAGAUUCCUCCCAAAGGAAUCUGCGGUGACGCAGAAAUACGAGGGAGGAGGACCAGGGUCGCACGUUCCGUCUAGAAACACGGGCCGGGGAGUUUACAGUUGUGGCGAGCUUAAGGGCAUAAACCCGUAAGCGUAGGGAAACCAAAAGCACGCAGCCAGAUUUAUCUGGUAAGGUGCUGAGUCUGAAAGGGCUCGGAGUCACAGCUGUAACACUAGAAGCUGGGCGAUCUAGCCCUGGGCAGGAUGAAGCCAAGCGAAAGCUUGGUGGAGGUCCGCAAGGGUUCUGAUGUUCAAUUCGUUCCUCAGACCUGGGGCUAGGGGCUAAAGACCAAUCUAGCCCAGAGAUAGCUAGUUCCCUCCGAAGUGGGUCGCAGCCCAGCCUCAAGCGAGGUUGCCUACGGGGUAGAGCACUGACUAGAAAGUAAGGGGUCGAAAGGCCUCGCUUUCUUAUCAAACUCCGAAUCCGUAGGCGCCGUAGACCUUGGGAGGCGGGUUCUGGGGGGUAAGCUCCCAGUCCGAGAGGGGAACAACCCAGACCGAGGUUAAGGCCCCUAAAUGCUGGCUAAGUGUCAAACUGAAGGGAGUCAUCAGCCCUAGACAGCGGGAAGGUAGGCUUAGUAGCAGCCAUCCUUUAAAGAGUGCGUAACAGCUCACCCGCCGAGGCUCAUGGCCCUGAAAAUGGACGGGGCUAAGCCAGCUGCCGAUACCUCGGGGCGCAGCUUUUGCUGCGGUCAGGUAGGAGGGCGUCCUGGUUGGGCGGAAGCUGGGUCGUGAGAUCCAGUGGACCGAUCAGGAUUGCAGAUCCCGGCGGUAGUAACAGCAAAGAGAGGUGAGAAUCCUCUCCGCCGAAGGGGCAAGGGUUCCCCCGCAACACGUCAUUAGCGGGGGGGAAGCCGGUCCUAAGGUCGACCUUACCUGGGUAGGCCGAAUGGGAAACCGGUUAAAAUUCCGGUGCCACAGAGGUACGAUUGCGGUGACGCAAGGCAUGGUGCCUGACGCUUCGGGAUAGGCUGAGCGGGGUCGUCGCCCUGUUUAACCGUAUAUGCCUGGGGAGGCCGUAAUGGCGAGAACCAGGUGAAGGCGGGAAUAGCCGUCCGUUUUAGGAUGGUUCGGCUGAUUCCUGGGGCCAAUGAAAAGGGCAUCAUGAAGGAUCCUCUGUGACCGUACCAAGAACCGACACAGGUGUCCCUUGGCUAGCAACCUAAGGCGUGUCGGGUGUACGCCAAGCGAGGGAACUCGGCAAAUUAGCCCCGUAACUUCGGGAUAAGGGGUGCCUGCGGUUUGGGCGUAAGCCUGAACCACAGGUCGCAGUGACAAGGGGGUCUCGACUGUUUAAUAAAAACACAGGAAGCCGCAAGCCCGAAAGGGUGUGUACGGCUUCUGAAUCCUGUCCAGUACAGGUACCUGAAACCCGGGUUCAACCGGGCUAAGGGCCUGCAAACGCCGGGAGUAACUCUGACUCUCUCAAGGUAGCCAAAUGCCUUGUCGGGUAAGUUCCGACGUGCAUGAAUGGAACAACGAGGACCCCGCUGUCCCCGCUUGGUACCCGGUGAACCCACGUAACGUGGACGAACAGUCCACGAACUCCCAGCGGGAAAAGAAGACCCCGUGGAGCUUUACUGCAGCCUGUCGCUGGGAUACGGUUGCGAUUGCAGAGUGUAGGUGGGAGCCGUUUGAUCUCGACCUCUCCGGGGGUCAAGGUAGGCGACAAUGGAACACCCCCCACUCGCAGCUGUAUCCCUUACCGGCGCGAAGGCGCUGGGACAACGGUAGGUGGGCAGUUCGGCUGGGGCGGCACCCCCUUGAAAAAAUAUCGAGGGGGCCCUAAGGUCGGCUCAGGCGGGACAGAAACCCGCCGCAGAGUGCAAAGGCAAAAGCCGGCCUGACUGGAUCCUCCAAAGUAAGGGAUCCAGAGGCGAAAGCCGGGCUUAGCGAGCCGUCAUGUCCCCAUUGGUGGGGGCUGGCGGCGACAGAAAAGUUACCCCGGGGAUAACAGGCUCGUCGCGGGCGAGAGUUCCCAUCGACCCCGCGGCUUGGUACCUCGAUGUCGGCUCUUCCCAUCCUGGCUCCGCAUUAGGGGCCAAGGGUGAGGCUGCUCGCCUAUUAAAGGGGAACGUGAGCUGGGUUUAGACCGUCGUGAGACAGGUCGGACUUUAUCUGCUGGGAGCGGUGGCCGCCUGAGGGGAAAGCGUCCCCAGUACGAGAGGAACGGGACGCUGUGGCCUCUAGUUUACCGGUUGUCCGAUAGGGCACCGCCGGGCAGCCACGCCGCUGCGGAUAAGAGCUGAAAGCAUCUAAGCUCGAAGCCGCUCCCGAGAAGAGGCGGCCAUUCCUUGGCGUGAGACCCGGCAACGGGCCUCGGCCAAGGACGAGGGCUCCCGUAGAAGACGGGGUUGAUGGAGCCGGGGUGUACGCCGGAAGGCUUCGGCCGACCGGUUCAGCCCGCGGUUCCCAAUCGCCCGAGGUGUCGGGCUG